This 853-nucleotide long non-coding RNA is filed under the name Pan troglodytes (chimpanzee). RNAcentral describes it as "long non-coding RNA NONPTRT001838". The record is from RNAcentral. Lineage: Eukaryota; Metazoa; Chordata; Mammalia; Primates; Hominidae.
CUGAAAUGUGAUUGCUCAAAUUUCACUUUACAUAAGUCUGCACCAGUUGAUAUUUAGAAACUUAAUAUUUUCCACAGGUGAAGAAGCUGAGGUAUACAGCAUGUAUUAAAUAGAGUGUGAUAACUACUGUAACACACAAAGCCUUAUUUUAUUGCUCAUGUCCAUGUACUUUAGUGGGCAGUAUUUCCUCUCCAAAUACGAAAAUCUUUUACCUGGAUACCCUAUAUCACAGGCUGUACUUGAUGUUUCCAGUGGGAAAAAAAUCCAACUGCUGCUGAUGCAAGAACAUUGUAUAUCCUCACAAAGGCAAGACUGAUGAUACAAAAAAUAUAAAGCCAAAAGCUUUGUCUGUUCUUUCCCCCUUUAUCGAUAGUUAUAAUAACUUCUCUGAGAGCCGUAUAUACUAUUUGAGUGGAAGAUUUCCACAGGCUUCUUUCGUUCACCUCCAGCUCCCUUAGAUCUUGACGGCUUUUUCUGAUCUCGUAAGAAUAAUUUGGCAUUUAUCCAUAGGAGGAGAUGUUCUGUACCUACAAGUAGAAAGUCUGACUCAAAUAGUUACUUCUAAGGUUGUAUUAUUUUAAAAUCUAAGCUGAAGUUCCCUGGUGGAUUUAACUUUGAAGAAACACCCAAAGCCAAUCCGUUCAAAGCAUUGUGUUCUCCAAGCAGCUACUGUAGGUGGCUGAGCUCAUACUCCAACAAUGUGUCAUCACUCCAGAUGUCUUAGGCCUCCUCUUCUGAAACUACUGUCAAAAUCUCUGGCACAGUUUUCGAAUAUCCUCAAUGAAGAAAAAUCUUAAUCUUUUUUGAGGAAGAAUUGGAUCUUUUGAAACUUUCAGUAGUUUUCAGAAUCUAA